Long non-coding RNA from Medicago truncatula (barrel medic), 436 nucleotides. RefSeq lists it as uncharacterized. The transcript has 2 exons. The record is from RefSeq and is a predicted model, not a curated record. Lineage: Eukaryota; Viridiplantae; Streptophyta; Magnoliopsida; Fabales; Fabaceae.
CAGCAUCUAUAUUUUUUUUUUAUGAAUUUCUUCUUCUCAUUCACUUAUGCUUUCUUCUUUGUUUGUUUUUUCUAGGUCCGAUAGGUUUCAAAAUGGGAGACCUUACUUUCUUUUUUCUAUGGUGGUGAAUGCAUGAGCGGUUGAAGAAGAAGGAGAAGUUGCUUGCAGCUGAAUAAGAUAUCUUGUGAUGAGAGAAUAUGCAGAUCCGGUGGUUUUUGAAGCGGGGAGAGGCUACUGUAAAGUAUUGCAAUGUAGCAAACUGAGUAAAUUGCGGUGGUUUUUACAACAACUAUGCAACUGCUCCAUAGAUAUAUUAAGUUGUUUUUUAUGUGAAGUGGGCCAUAAUACGGGUCAACACACUAGUAUACAUUUAAUUGAGAUUUGAAUUGUGGUUCACCAUAUUUAAUAUAGGCAAAACAUUUGAUCUUAUAACUAA